GAUGAACGCUGGCGGCGUGCCUAAUACAUGCAAGUCGAGCGAACGGACGAGAAGCUUGCUUCUCUGAUGUUAGCGGCGGACGGGUGAGUAACACGUGGAUAACCUACCUAUAAGACUGGGAUAACUUCGGGAAACCGGAGCUAAUACCGGAUGAUAUUUUGAACCGCAUGGUUCAAAAGUGAAAGACGGUCUUGCUGUCACUUAUAGAUGGAUCCGCGCUGCAUUAGCUAGUUGGUAAGGUAACGGCUUACCAAGGCAACGAUGCAUAGCCGGCCUGAGAGGGUGAUCGGCCACACUGGAACUGAGACACGGUCCAGACUCCUACGGGAGGCAGCAGUAGGGAAUCUUCCGCAAUGGGCGAAAGCCUGACGGAGCAACGCCGCGUGAGUGAUGAAGGUCUUCGGAUCGUAAAACUCUGUUAUUAGGGAAGAACAUAUGUGUAAGUAACUGUGCACAUCUUGACGGUACCUAAUCAGAAAGCCACGGCUAACUACGUGCCAGCAGCCGCGGUAAUACGUAGGUGGCAAGCGUUAUCCGGAAUUAUUGGGCGUAAAGCGCGCGUAGGCGGUUUUUUAAGUCUGAUGUGAAAGCCCACGGCUCAACCGUGGAGGGUCAUUGGAAACUGGAAAACUUGAGUGCAGAAGAGGAAAGUGGAAUUCCAUGUGUAGCGGUGAAAUGCGCAGAGAUAUGGAGGAACACCAGUGGCGAAGGCGACUUUCUGGUCUGUAACUGACGCUGAUGUGCGAAAGCGUGGGGAUCAAACAGGAUUAGAUACCCUGGUAGUCCACGCCGUAAACGAUGAGUGCUAAGUGUUAGGGGGUUUCCGCCCCUUAGUGCUGCAGCUAACGCAUUAAGCACUCCGCCUGGGGAGUACGACCGCAAGGUUGAAACUCAAAGGAAUUGACGGGGACCCGCACAAGCGGUGGAGCAUGUGGUUUAAUUCGAAGCAACGCGAAGAACCUUACCAAAUCUUGACAUCCUUUGACAACUCUAGAGAUAGAGCCUUCCCCUUCGGGGGACAAAGUGACAGGUGGUGCAUGGUUGUCGUCAGCUCGUGUCGUGAGAUGUUGGGUUAAGUCCCGCAACGAGCGCAACCCUUAAGCUUAGUUGCCAUCAUUAAGUUGGGCACUCUAAGUUGACUGCCGGUGACAAACCGGAGGAAGGUGGGGAUGACGUCAAAUCAUCAUGCCCCUUAUGAUUUGGGCUACACACGUGCUACAAUGGACAAUACAAAGGGCAGCGAAACCGCGAGGUCAAGCAAAUCCCAUAAAGUUGUUCUCAGUUCGGAUUGUAGUCUGCAACUCGACUACAUGAAGCUGGAAUCGCUAGUAAUCGUAGAUCAGCAUGCUACGGUGAAUACGUUCCCGGGUCU
This 1372-nucleotide ribosomal RNA is filed under the name uncultured bacterium. RNAcentral's name for it is "bacterial SSU rRNA". It matches the Rfam family "Bacterial small subunit ribosomal RNA", at positions 28 to 1381 of the family's 1533-position model. The record is from RNAcentral.